This 457-nucleotide ribosomal RNA is filed under the name uncultured bacterium. RNAcentral describes it as "bacterial SSU rRNA". It matches the Rfam family "Bacterial small subunit ribosomal RNA", at positions 28 to 507 of the family's 1533-position model. The record is from RNAcentral.
GGUGAACGCUGGCGGCGUGCCUAACACAUGCAAGUCGAUCGGAGCAGCAAUGCUUAGAGGCGAACGGGUGAGGAAAACGUAGUAACCAACCCUUUAGACUGGGAUAGCCACUGGAAACGGUGGGUAAUACCGGAUAAGCUCGAGAGAGGAAAGGCAGAGAAGCGCUAAAGGACGGAACUGCGCCCCAUCAGAUAGUUGGUGAGGUAAAGGCUUACCAAGUCAAAGACGGGAAACCGACGUGAGAGCGUGUACGGUCACAAGGGCACUGAGAGACGGGCCCUACUCCUACGGGAGGCAGCAGUGGGGAAUAUUGGACAAAUGGAUGGAAAUCUGAUCCAGCCAUGCCGCGUGCAGGAAGACGGCCCUAUGGGUUGUAAACUGCUUUUAUAUGGGAGCAAUAAGGUUUACGCGUAGACCGAUGAGAGUACCAUAUGAAUAAGCAUCGGCUAACUCCGUG